GGGUGGAGGCCGGAUCCUGGGCUGUGUCCCGACGCCCUGUGCUCCUGGGCCUGCGCUGUUGGAUUCAAGCAGCCCCCUCCGCGGAGCCGCCG
Molecule: microRNA precursor, 92 nt
Filed under: Canis lupus familiaris (dog)
Lineage: Eukaryota; Metazoa; Chordata; Mammalia; Carnivora; Canidae
Also listed under: 1 other name
Description: mir-8799 microRNA precursor family
Rfam family: mir-8799 microRNA precursor family
Source: Rfam by way of RNAcentral